GACGAACGCUGGCGGCGUGCUUAACACAUGCAAGUCGAACGGAAAGGCCCUGCUUUUGUGGGGUGCUCGAGUGGCGAACGGGUUAGUAACACGUGAGUAACCUGCCCUUGACUUUGGGAUAACUUCAGGAAACUGGGGCUAAUACCUGAUAUGAGCUCCUGCUGCAUGGUGGGGGUUGGAAAGUUUCGGCGGUUGGGGAUGGACUCGCGGCUUAUCAGCUUGUUGGUGGGGUAGUGGCUUACCAAGGCUUUGACGGGUAGCCGGCCUGAGAGGGUGACCGGCCACAUUGGGACUGAGAUACGGCCCAGACUCCUACGGGAGGCAGCAGUGGGGAAUAUUGCACAAUGGGCGGAAGCCUGAUGCAGCAACGCCGCGUGCGGGAUGACGGCCUUCGGGUUGUAAACCGCUUUCGCCUGUGACGAGGCGUGAGUGACGGUAAUGGGUAAAGAAGCACCGGCUAACUACGUG
RNAcentral lists this ribosomal RNA (468 nucleotides) under uncultured bacterium. RNAcentral's name for it is "partial 16S ribosomal RNA". It matches the Rfam family "Bacterial small subunit ribosomal RNA", at positions 28 to 507 of the family's 1533-position model. The record is from RNAcentral.